RNAcentral lists this transfer RNA (76 nucleotides) under Mariprofundaceae bacterium. Its description in RNAcentral is "tRNA-Glu". It matches the Rfam family "tRNA". Rfam says of the family: Transfer RNA (tRNA) molecules are approximately 80 nucleotides in length. Their secondary structure includes four short double-helical elements and three loops (D, anti-codon, and T loops). Further hydrogen bonds mediate the characteristic L-shaped molecular structure. tRNAs have two regions of fundamental functional importance: the anti-codon, which is responsible for specific mRNA codon recognition, and the 3' end, to which the tRNAs corresponding amino acid is attached (by aminoacyl-tRNA synthetases). tRNAs cope with the degeneracy of the genetic code in two manners: having more than one tRNA (with a specific anti-codon) for a particular amino acid; and 'wobble' base-pairing, i.e. permitting non-standard base-pairing at the 3rd anti-codon position. The record is from RNAcentral. Lineage: Bacteria; Pseudomonadati; Pseudomonadota; Candidatius Mariprofundia; Mariprofundales; Mariprofundaceae.
GCUCCCAUCGUCUAGUGGUCUAGGACGCCGCCCUCUCACGGCGGAAACAGGGGUUCGACUCCCCUUGGGAGUACCA